This 185-nucleotide ribosomal RNA is filed under the name uncultured Bacteroidota bacterium. RNAcentral's name for it is "uncultured Bacteroidetes bacterium partial 16S ribosomal RNA". It matches the Rfam family "Bacterial small subunit ribosomal RNA", at positions 121 to 306 of the family's 1533-position model. Lineage: Bacteria; Pseudomonadati; Bacteroidota. The record is from RNAcentral.
GCAAUCUACCUUUUACAGGGGGAUAGCCCAGAGAAAUUUGGAUUAAUACCCCAUGGUAUAAUUGAAUGGCAUCAUUUAAUUAUUAAAGUCACAACGGUAAAAGAUGAGCAUGCGUCCCAUUAGCUAGUUGGUAAGGUAACGGCUUACCAAGGCUACGAUGGGUAGGGGUCCUGAGAGGGAGAUCC